Molecule: non-coding RNA, 204 nt
Filed under: Eubacterium sp.
Lineage: Bacteria; Bacillati; Bacillota; Clostridia; Eubacteriales; Eubacteriaceae
Description: T-box sequence
Rfam family: T-box leader
About the family: Uncharged tRNA acts as the effector for transcription antitermination of genes in the T-box leader family. T-boxes are found upstream of many aminoacyl-tRNA synthetase genes and some amino acid biosynthetic genes usually in Gram-positive bacteria.
Source: RNAcentral
AGUAAUCCGAUGAAAAAGAGGCUUAUCAUAAAGUAAGUUACAGAGAAAAAGACAUUAGCUGAGAGUCUUUGCGAUGCAUUUAUGUUAAGGGACACUUUGGAGGAAUUAUCAGGAAAUGGAUAAUCGUAUGACCGCGUUAAGGUGUUAAGCAGCAUUUCAAUUCGAGAUGAAAAAAGGUGGCACCGCGUGGAAUACGUCCUUUGU